Molecule: non-coding RNA, 45 nt
Filed under: Schistosoma mattheei
Lineage: Eukaryota; Metazoa; Platyhelminthes; Trematoda; Strigeidida; Schistosomatidae
Source: RNAcentral
AUCCAGCUGAUGAGUCCCAAAUAGGGCGGAACGUGUGUUCUGUAU